UGGGGAAUUUUGGACAAUGGGGGCAACCCUGAUCCAGCCAUGCCGCGUGAGUGAAGAAGGCCUUCGGGUUGUAAAGCUCUUUCGGCGGGGACGAAACGGUUCGUGACAACACCACGGACUAAUGACGGUACUCGCAGAAGAAGCACCGGCUAACUACGUGCCAGCAGCCGCGGUAAUACGUAGGGUGCAGGCGUUAAUCGGAAUUACUGGGCGUAAAGCGUGCGCAGGCGGCUCCUUAAGUCAGAUGUGAAAUCCCCGGGCUUAACCUGGGAACUGCGUUUGAAACUGAGGGGCUAGAGUGUGGAAGAGGGGGGUGGAAUUCCAGGUGUAGCAGUGAAAUGCGUAGAGAUCUGGAGGAACACCGAUGGCGAAGGCAGCCCCCUGGGCUAACACUGACGCUCAUGCACGAAAGCGUGGGGAGCAAACAGGAUUAGAUACCCGUGUAGUCCCUGAGCGGGCUGGCAAGGCGCAU
RNAcentral lists this ribosomal RNA (472 nucleotides) under uncultured bacterium. RNAcentral describes it as "bacterial SSU rRNA". It matches the Rfam family "Bacterial small subunit ribosomal RNA", at positions 355 to 825 of the family's 1533-position model. The record is from RNAcentral.